This 808-nucleotide ribosomal RNA is filed under the name uncultured bacterium. Its description in RNAcentral is "bacterial SSU rRNA". It matches the Rfam family "Bacterial small subunit ribosomal RNA", at positions 63 to 862 of the family's 1533-position model. The record is from RNAcentral.
CGAGGGGCAGCAUGGAAGUUUGCUUGCAAACUUUUGAUGGCGACCGGCGCACGGGUGAGUAACACGUAUCCAACCUGCCUCAUACUCGGGGAUAGCCUUUCGAAAGAAAGAUUAAUACCCGAUGUCAUAGUCCUACCGCAUGAUGGGAUUAUUAAAGAAUUUCGGUAUGGGAUGGGGAUGCGUUCCAUUAGUUAGUUGGCGGGGUAACGGCCCACCAAGACAACGAUGGAUAGGGGUUCUGAGAGGAAGGUCCCCCACAUUGGAACUGAGACACGGUCCAAACUCCUACGGGAGGCAGCAGUGAGGAAUAUUGGUCAAUGGACGAGAGUCUGAACCAGCCAAGUAGCGUGAAGGAUGACUGCCCUAUGGGUUGUAAACUUCUUUUAUAUGGGAAUAAAAUGUUCCACGUGUGGGAUUUUGUAUGUACCAUAUGAAUAAGGAUCGGCUAACUCCGUGCCAGCAGCCGCGGUAAUACGGAGGAUCCGAGCGUUAUCCGGAUUUAUUGGGUUUAAAGGGAGCGUAGGUGGAUUGUUAAGUCAGUUGUGAAAGUUUGCGGCUCAACCGUAAAAUUGCAGUUGAAACUGGCAGUCUUGAGUACAGUAGAGGUGGGCGGAAUUCGUGGUGUAGCGGUGAAAUGCUUAGAUAUCACGAAGAACUCCGAUUGCGAAGGCAGCUCACUGGACUGCAACUGACACUGAGGCUCGAAAGUGUGGGUAUCAAACAGGAUUAGAUACCCUGGUAGUCCACACAGUAAACGAUGAAUACUCGCUGUUUGCGAUAUACGGCAAGCGGCCAAGCGAAAGCAUUA